This 887-nucleotide long non-coding RNA is filed under the name Mytilus galloprovincialis (Mediterranean mussel). The record is from RNAcentral. Lineage: Eukaryota; Metazoa; Mollusca; Bivalvia; Mytilida; Mytilidae.
GUAAUUUAAUUAUAAUCUGCAGGAAAAUAAAUUAAAAUCAUUCUUAUUAUUUCAUGUUUUCCCUUUCUACUGUAGUAGAAACGAAGACGACUUACAGUGUGAGAAAUCUGAGAAUAAAAAAAUCUAAAAAAAAAAAAUAGAAUAUCAGCUAGAUGGGAUAAAUUUGAUCUAGUUUUGUGAAUAUUCCUGUUUGACAAAAAUAUGCAGUGAAAACAAAACCGUGAGUGAUCUUAUGCCUUGUUUAAUUUUCCAUAAUCGAGGUCAUGUGCAAAUUAAGUAAGGUAAUAAAAAUGUCAACAUCAAAGAAACGUUGAGAAAGAUAAAUUAACCUGGUCAUCUGGUCAUACUCACGGGUUAUUACAAGGUAUAUACGUGCGAAGUUAAGGAUAACAGUGAUAAUUAAGACUACUAGAAUUUGUCCUAAACGAAUCAAUUAACAACAAAAUGUUGAUGUUAAUUUGUUAAUUCAGAAACGCGAACGAAGACAUUACUCAAGGUAUAUGAAUAUUCAUUGAUUGAGGUGAUUUUAGGACAUCAAUAAAAAAAAAAAAACGCAAGUUAAAAAAAAAAAGUUUUAUAUAAUACAUAUUAAUAAUAACAAUUAACGGUACCAAUUUUUCUGCACCAGAUGCGCAUUUCGACAAUACAUGUCUCUUCAGUGAUGCUCGUGGCCAAAAUAUGUAAAAUCCAAAGCUUAAAUAAAAGAUGAAGAGCUAUAAUCCAAAAGUUCCAAAAAGUAUAGCCAAAUCCGUGAAAGGAAUCAGAGCUUUGCAUGAGGGAGAUACAUUCCUUAAUUUAUAAUAAUUUUCAAUAUUUUGUAACAGCAAAUUUAAUAACACAAAAAAAUCCGUAUUUUCAUGCUAGUACCGGAGUACUGGCUACUGGGC